CAGAACUUAAAUUAUCCCAGCGUCUCUCACUCAAAGCACAUCUGCUUGCAGGAAUGUUAUGUUGCCUAAGGAUAACAUGAGUUCCACAUUCUCUGAAGCCACCACAUCUCAAGCCCACACGGAACUACACUGCUUCCUCCUCUUGAAGGAACGAGUGUCACCGUUGCAUGUAGUUUUAAGAGACCAUGCUUGCUCCUUGCCUAGUCUUCUUGCCAGGUGCUCCGACUUAGCUCCCGCCUCCGAGAUCACACUGCUGCUGGCCCCACUUCUACCCUGCCCGUUCCAAGGCCAGGGUGGCUACAUUACUUUUCUACUGACAAAACACCGUGACCAAAGCAACUUAAGGGCUAUUUACUUGUGGUUCCAGAGGGUAAGAAGCUGGCAGCAGGUAGGAACAGCAGUUGGGGCUAAAAGUUGACAGUUCAAAUCUUGAAUCACAAGCAAAAGCUUUUGGCAAACUGGGAAUGGCAUGUGACCUUGAAAGCUCAGAGCCUGUCCCCAGUGACGCACUUUUUUCCUAAACCAAAAAUUCAAAACACCUGAGACUGGGGACAUUCUCAUCCAAACCACCACCGUGGCUAAGCUGAUGUUCUGGGAUGCAAAGACAGGACCAGCAACAGUUGCACAAUGCAAUAAAGCCUAUGUUUCUGUCUCUAACUUCUCUUUCAACAGUUCAACAAAUGGCUAAGGCCUUCCUGCAUAGUUCCACAUGUUGGGGAAUGUUUUUACGCAGUGUAUUGGAAUGCUGAUUUCUGUACCUGGAGACCAUCUGGGUGCAGUCCAGACCCUGGCCAUCAUUACAAAACAUUUUCUGACUCAGUAUUUUGUAAGACGUUGUUCUCCUCUAUGUCUGAUUGGUUAGAGCUGACCAGCCUAUAUCGGGGAGGACAGUUAAGGCUAGACUUCUAAUCCCAGUGAGGGGUCCUGGGUGGAGAGUGUUGAGUGGCCAUGAGGACACAGAUGGGUAGGAACAACCAGGGAGAGACUAGGAAGGCAGGUAAUGGGGCACAUGGCUGGGUACUAGGCAGCACAGCAGGGCUAGAAUAAAUCAGAACCCUACCUAGCUGUAGUGCAAGAAGCUUAUCAAUAAAUAUACCAGGUCUCCUUGUCAUCAUUUCAAAGCAAGGGCAGGCCCAGAAAAGCCCUGAACUUUUACAUCCACAUUAUACUUAGGUCAAGCGAAGGAGAAAGGGAAACCAAGGGUUUCUAGUAUGUGGAGGAGCCCCCUGGCUCCUGACCCUACCUGUACCCCACUACUCUAAACACAAGGGUAGAGCAGGUCUUUAAGGUCACAUGUCUGGAACCAGUAAGUUUUACAAUGUAGGGGGAAGUGCUGCAUCUAAGUGCACUUCAUAGAUGAGGAAACGUAUGCAGCCACAUAAACACACACCACAACCACCGAUGGGAAGACGCAGAUUUUUCCAGCUCUUUUAUUUUCUUAUCAUGUUAACAAUAGAAGAUUCCCCAAAGUUAAAAAAAAAAAAACUUUGAAAAAUAGAAAGUUUCAUACUAUUUACAUGACAUAUGAGUACAGGUUCCAGUAUCAUACAAACGUCCCAUGAGAAACAGUGAGAAGGCAUGAUGUAAUUCUCUGCCUUUUAGAUGCGAUGCCUAAUACUCGUGGUCUCCCUUCUGACUCCUGUGUUGUCUGCUAUCCUGAUACAGAAACUGUUUGGUAACUGAGAGGCUGGAACUACUGGUAAACUUCAAUGCCUUCUAUUUUGUUUGCUCUUUUUUAUUUUCAAAACUUACUGCAUUUGAAUGCUCUGUAUCCCUUUACACUUCCCACAGCUAGGUCUACUCUCACUUCUCAAAUGACCAAGCAUUAGUCACAUGAACUGCUAUGUGUUUAUAGAUUUAAAAUUUAAGCAUAACAAUAUAUAGCCAUGCCGUGUGUGGUAUGCAUUUAAUCUCGGGGAUUCCCUCCUGCUUUCCUUUGUUUCUAUGUUACCAACUGUUUUUUUAAAAACAUUAAAAAAAAAAACUAGAAUAAUCUCGCCAAUUAAUCAAAAACCUAAGAUUAAAAAUUCUACAUUAUAUUUUUAUUUGUAUUUAAAAAUACACUGGAAAUUCUGUAUAGGCCCAUGAUCGAGCUUAUUUUGGACGUACAUUUCUUCGGUUUUGAAGACAUGGUUUGUCUGACAAGACCUUUCGCAAGCUGAACACCAAGAUCGGGAAAGUCCUGUGGCUUUCGCUGGCGCUGCUGCCGAUGACGCGAGUCGCUCCCUUGCUGCUGGAUCUGGGUGCCUGUCAUUUGCCCUUUAUCACCUGAACAGUUUUCCGACCAUAGUGAUAAUAACUGUAUGCGGACGCAGCUGUAGUGAAUGCUGUACAACACCUUCAAAGGAGAGAAACGCACUGCUUCAGCCUUCCAAUCCCAAAACACCACCAGCAGGAACCAUGAAGUACACAAGUAAAAGUGAGCUAAGAAAAUAGGACUCUGUGAUGAAAUUUAACUACAAAAUCUAAAGUCACGGCUUCCUUCGAGACUGCAUUUAAACUGGCAAUGCCAAAUAAAAGCCAUCUAAUU
Molecule: long non-coding RNA, 2530 nt
Filed under: Rattus norvegicus (Norway rat)
Lineage: Eukaryota; Metazoa; Chordata; Mammalia; Rodentia; Muridae
Description: long non-coding RNA NONRATT019720
Source: RNAcentral